This 253-nucleotide ribosomal RNA is filed under the name uncultured bacterium. Its description in RNAcentral is "partial 16S ribosomal RNA". It matches the Rfam family "Bacterial small subunit ribosomal RNA", at positions 524 to 776 of the family's 1533-position model. The record is from RNAcentral.
UACGGGGGGGGUAAGCGUUGUUCGGAAUUACUGGGCGUAAAGGGCUCGUAGGCGGCCAACUAAGUCAGACGUGAAAUCCCUCAGCUUAACUGGGGAACUGCGUCUGAUACUGGAUGGCUUGGAUUCGGGAGAGGAAUGCGGAAUUCCAGGUGUAGCGGUGAAAUGCGCAGAUAUCGGGAGGAACACCGGUGGCGAAGGCGGUUCUCUGGGCCUUACCUGACACUGAGGAGCGAAAGCGUGGGGAGCGAACAGG